GAUGAACGCUGACAGAAUGCUUAACACAUGCAAGUCGAUGGGGAAAUGGUGCUUGCCCCCUGGUCACCAUGGCGGACGGGUGAGUAACACGUAAGGAACUUACCUGCUGGACCGGGAUAACAGCAGGAAACUGCUGACAAGACCGGAUAAGGUCAUUAAGCUGCAUAGCUUAGUGAUGAAAGGAGACGCCUGCGGAGAGCCUUGCGUCCUAUUAGCUAGUUGGAGGGGUAACGGCCCACCAAGGCGAAGAUAGGUAGCCGGCCUGAGAGGGUGGACGGCCACCAGGGGACUGAGAUACGGCCCUUACUCCUACGGGCGGCAGCAGUGGGGAAUAUUGGACGAUGGGGGCAACCCUGCUCCAGCAAUUGUGUGUGCACGAAGACGGUUUUCGGAUUGUAAAGUGCUUUCAGCAGGGAAGAAGGAAGUGACGGUACCUGCAGAAGAAGCGACGGCUAAAUACGUG
This 463-nucleotide ribosomal RNA is filed under the name uncultured bacterium. Its description in RNAcentral is "partial 16S ribosomal RNA". It matches the Rfam family "Bacterial small subunit ribosomal RNA", at positions 28 to 507 of the family's 1533-position model. The record is from RNAcentral.